Molecule: RNA transcript, 1632 nt
Organism: Carassius carassius (crucian carp)
Lineage: Eukaryota; Metazoa; Chordata; Actinopteri; Cypriniformes; Cyprinidae
Exons: 4
Source: RefSeq, a predicted model, not a curated record
UUUAAGCUCACUCGCUCCUGCACUUUCAUGCGAGCUCAGUCCUCUACGCAUUGGAUUGUGGGAAAUUGUGCUUUAAGUGUACAUUGGAUGUACGCUCUAGUUCAGAGAGGAUUGUGGGUAAAAGUAGUGAACUAAUGUACGGAAUGAUGUGGUUCACUCAGAAUUCGGACACCACUACAAAAUGGCCGACACCCUAAAUAGUGCACUAUAUAGUGGAUAGGGAGCGAUUUCAGACACAGCUUAUACCUUUGUGUUAAUAUCUAAUGUUAGCCAAAUUCAGGGAUGACAUUAUUCAUGGCUUGUUUUGAUGCCAUCAGGGCACCAAAAACAAAUCCACAGCAACCAAAGGAGGACAUCAACACCAUUGAAACAGACAUCAGUAACCCGUAAAUUUACGAUAAAACCUUUUCUUCCCAUUUAACCCAUACCCAUAUUUUACCCAUAUAACAUGUGCUAAAAUCUACUGCUAAACUUUGGCCUUUCCCACUAAUUAGCCUUGACAGCAAGGAAUCACACCCCACACUUUAGACACGGAGAGGCAGAGGUCUUAAGUUGUAAGUAAUACUGUGUCAGUUCACUAACACUGCAUUCAAAUAUUACAGGUUUACCCAUAUAUCCAAAAUACUGUUACACAACAUGCGUUAUCUUUCACAACAAUUUAAGUUCUAAAACUGACCGUGUUUAACUCAUUAACCUAUUAAACUAAAUUUUGUACAACCAAAUCUGCAGAGUAAAAGAGUUUUAUUGCCUUCUACUGUCAUUUAACAUGUUCAAACUAAUAUAUUGUUGUGGUGUUCCCCUCUUUAGCAUCAUCCCACACUGGUUUCAGUGAAGCUUUUUCUUUUUUUUAUAGCUUGGAUACGCAAAAUUCUUGCAAACCAAGAAAUGAUUAAAGAACAGAUGGGAACAUUGGUUAAAUUGGUCUACGACCUCAAAAAAUUAUCAACUACAGAAGACAGCCCAACAUUAAACACAGACUGUCUUCCACUGUCAAGUUUUCAACAACUUCAAGUCAUGGAGGGGCAGCUGCAGCAGGAAGACUACAAAACAGCUGUGAUAAACACGUUAGCCUUGAGGGGAGGCACAACAGUAAAGGAAAGUGUAUGGCGGAAUCUGAGCUUCCUUCUAUCAAACGACAUGGCCCGGCAAAUGAACUGGAGGGGAAUCAAUGGAAAAGCGGCAUUCAAAGACACCUCUCUGAAAACUGUAAUUAAUGCUGCAGUCAGAAGAAACCGUUUGACUUCCACUGCAACAGACCAGGAAGUAGAAAACUGGAUAAAGAGAUGGCUGCAGCUUUCCGCAGACAUGGAUGGAGGUUGUCGGGCAAGACAAAAAAAUUGACUGUUUCCUGUUUUUGACACUUGCUUGUUCAACGGACUGCUCUUUUGCUUUGCUGUUUUUGAACUAUAGAUCUGAUACUCCACUUGUUUAUUAAAUUCUCCUGGUUCUGACACUCGCUCGCCCUGCCUGUUCAACGGACUGCCCUUUUGCCUUGCUCUGUUUUUUUAACUAUAGAUCUGAUUCUACGCUUGUUUUAUUAAACUCUCCUGGUUUUGAGUGACACUUGCUUGACCUUGUUCAUAAUAUGUAGACCUUGUCUAAUGUUUUCUUUGGACUGAUUUCUGGCAGUCC